UACAGCGGUCCCAAGCGUUGUUCGGAUUCAUUGGGCGUAAAGCGCGCGUAGGCGGUUACACAAGUUUGAUGUGAAAGCCCUCGGCUUAACUGAGGAAGUGCAUCCAAAACUGUGCAGCUAGAGUACUAAAGAGGGUCGCGGAAUUCCCGGUGUAGAGGUGAAAUUCGUAGAUAUCGGGAGGAACACCGGUGGCGAAGGCGGCGACCUGGGUAGAUACUGACGCUGAGGCGCGAAAGCGUGGGGAGCAAACAGG
This 253-nucleotide ribosomal RNA is filed under the name uncultured bacterium. Its description in RNAcentral is "partial 16S ribosomal RNA". It matches the Rfam family "Bacterial small subunit ribosomal RNA", at positions 524 to 776 of the family's 1533-position model. The record is from RNAcentral.